This 647-nucleotide ribosomal RNA is filed under the name uncultured archaeon. RNAcentral's name for it is "bacterial SSU rRNA". It matches the Rfam family "Archaeal small subunit ribosomal RNA", at positions 155 to 800 of the family's 1478-position model. The record is from RNAcentral.
CAUAGGUUUAGGGCACUGGAAGGUCCCUAAACCGAAAGGGGCUCUGCCCGCCCGAGGAUGGGCCGGCGGCCGAUUAGGUAGUUGGUGGGGUAACGGCCCACCAAGCCCAUAAUCGGUACGGGCAGUGAGAGCUGGAGCCCGGAGAUGGACACUGAGACACGGGUCCAGGCCCUACGGGGCGCAGCAGGCGCGAAACCUCCGCAAUGCUCGAAAGAGCGACGGGGGGACCCCAAGUGCCGUGGUACAACCACGGCUUUUCCGGAGUGUAAGAAGCUCCGGGAAUAAGGGCUGGGCAAGGCCGGUGGCAGCCGCCGCGGUAAUACCGGCGGCCCGAGUGGUGGCCACUAUUAUUGGGCCUAAAGCGUCCGUAGCCGGGCUUGUAAGUCCCUGGCGAAAUCCCACGGCUCAACCGUGGGGCUUGCUGGGGAUACUGCAGGCCUUGGGACCGGGAGAGGCCGGGGGUACUCCUGGGGUAGGGGUGAAAUCCUAUAAUCCCAGGAGGACCGCCAGUGGCGAAGGCGCCCGGCUGGAACGGGUCCGACGGUGAGGGACGAGGGCCAGGGGAGCAAACCGGAUUAGAUACCCGGGUAGUCCUGGCUGUAAAGGAUGCGGGCUAGGUGUUGCUUGGACCUCGAGUCCAAGCAGUG